Molecule: non-coding RNA, 467 nt
Organism: Vicugna pacos (alpaca)
Lineage: Eukaryota; Metazoa; Chordata; Mammalia; Artiodactyla; Camelidae
Source: RefSeq, a predicted model, not a curated record
GUGGACUGAGGACAGCAUUCCUGGAAAAGCUUGAUUGUUGUCUGAGUGUUCUGUAAUAAGUUCACAAAAGCAGCAUUAAUCAAUCAGAAAAAAACAAAUGCACCGAAAAACCCAGGGUUCAGGCAGUGAGGCAUAAACUGUUGGGACAUACCGCUCGGGGCCACUGCUGUCUGGGACUGAAACACUGGCAUUGUACUGCAUUGGUCAUUGGCGUUCGUGGAUGUUGGCAUUGGGCAUGGGCAUUCAAUCAGAAGUUGUCAAGUAUGGUACCCGUUUGGCAACGAGCACAUUUUUGGGCAUAGCCAACCAGGGUUUUCACAUGGGCGUUCAGGGGCGGAUGGGCCAACGUCAUGGUGGGCAACGCAGGGGUAAGUCGAUCCAGUACAUGGGCAACGGAGAUAUAUGGCCAAAAAAACAAGGAGAGGGAAAAGGGGGAAAAGCAAUAAAUUUUAAUUUAAUACAAACUA